GUCCAGACUCCUACGGGAGGCAGCAGUGGGGGAUAUUGGACAAUGGGGGGAACCCUGAUCCAGCGACGCCGCGUGAGUGAAGAAGUAUCUCGGUAUGUAAAGCUCUAUCAGCAGGGAAGAAAGAAAUGACGGUACCUGAGUAAGAAGCACCGGCUAAAUACGUGCCAGCAGCCGCGGUAAUACGUAUGGUGCAAGCGUUAUCCGGAUUUACUGGGUGUAAAGGGAGCGCAGGCGGUGCGGCAAGUCUGAUGUGAAAGCCCGGGGCUCAACCCCGGGACUGCAUUGGAAACUACCGAACUAGAGUGUCGGAGAGGUAAGUGGAAUUCCUAGUGUAGCGGUGAAAUGCGUAGAUAUUAGGAGGAACACCAGUGGCGAAGGCGGCUUACUGGACGAUAACUGACGCUGAGGCUCGAAAGCGUGGGGAGCAAACAGGAUUAGAUACCCCGGUACC
RNAcentral lists this ribosomal RNA (451 nucleotides) under uncultured bacterium. RNAcentral describes it as "bacterial SSU rRNA". It matches the Rfam family "Bacterial small subunit ribosomal RNA", at positions 329 to 794 of the family's 1533-position model. The record is from RNAcentral.